UACGAAGGGGGCUAGCGUUGUUCGGAAUUACUGGGCGUAAAGCGCACGUAGGCGGAUCGAUCAGUCAGGGGUGAAAUCCCAGGGCUCAACCCUGGAACUGCCUUUGAUACUGUCGAUCUGGAGUAUGGAAGAGGUGAGUGGAAUUCCGAGUGUAGAGGUGAAAUUCGUAGAUAUUCGGAGGAACACCAGUGGCGAAGGCGGCGACCUGGUCCGAUACUGACGCUGAGGCGCGAAAGCGUGGGGAGCAAACAGG
This 253-nucleotide ribosomal RNA is filed under the name uncultured bacterium. RNAcentral describes it as "partial 16S ribosomal RNA". It matches the Rfam family "Bacterial small subunit ribosomal RNA", at positions 524 to 776 of the family's 1533-position model. The record is from RNAcentral.